This is a long non-coding RNA of Camelus dromedarius (Arabian camel), 1070 nucleotides long. RefSeq lists it as uncharacterized. The record is from RefSeq and is a predicted model, not a curated record. Lineage: Eukaryota; Metazoa; Chordata; Mammalia; Artiodactyla; Camelidae. The transcript has 3 exons.
CCCGCGGGAAUGGAGUGGUGCAGCCGGCCGUGGCGUCCCGGGAAGGCUAGGGCUAGAGCCUCUGGGUUUAUGGCUUGUAAGGGCGGACCUGGGCUCUGUUGGGAGUUCGACAAGCGCCCAUGGCUAGAAGAGGCCCUAACACAUCCAAAAAAUAAAGUCAGGGAAAAGAGAGAUUCCUCAAUAAAUAUUUUACAACGAGAAACUAUAUUAUCAUUCAAAACAGCUCUGUGAGGCAAAUGGUGGUAUCUCCAUUUUACAGAUGUAAAAACUGACGCUUAGAGAAAUUAAACGAUGUGUUUAAGGUCUCAGUGAGUGUUAGUAUUAAGACAGCAUCCAAGUCUUUUUGACUCCAAGGGCUGGCGGACUGGAUUCUUUUUCCUCCAAUAAAGAACGAACGUGCUCACCUGCUCACCAGCUACCACAGCCAAGAGAUCUAAGGAGAAGAAAGAUGUCAGGGUGACGCGAAAGAGUUCUUUCCCAAGGUCUUCAGUGGUUCCCCUGCCCCAAACCUUUUCAGUGAGCAUCCCAUUUUCCUGCUGUGUAACACCACGAGUGUUGGGCAUAUUCUAGGAUGGAACCUAAUGUUCAAAUAACAAAAAUCAGGGAGAGGAAGUAAAGAAGAACUACAGAAUCUUGGCUUGUUGACGGCCAAUGACAAACUGCUGCGUUCACAUUUCUCCUCAUUUUAUUCUUGACUACUGAGGUUAAGAAGAUUAUGACUCUGCUUGAGUAAUAGUCUCAAUAUGGCAAAGAACAGCUUGGAUCUAAGUGUGUAAACACACCCACGGAAGAUGUCAACGUGUAUGUUGGCAGUCUCGGAAACCACACGUUGAAAAUGACGGAGCAAAAAUCACAGCCUGGAGUGUGCUGUGGUCCCGAAGAGGGUCCCUCCUUGGUGCGGACUGGGGAGCAGCCGGGGUCUGGGAAGGUCAGCCAGCCCCCCAACCCCACAGGUCUGAUGUCUCCACUUCCACCCACAGGCCUUACUGCUCUGUUUACAGUGACCUGCCCCAGGCCCCUCCCCUAGAGGGCAUGGGGUUUCAGAGGUCCACCCUCUGGGUCAGUGGUUA